CUCCACUAAAUAUAUAAACCUAUAAAUACUCCAAUUCUGUAGUUGUAAUCUCCAUUCUUAUUCAUCACAAAACUCCUUUAGAUUAUAUUAACACAAGAAUCCAUGAAAUCUCUGCAAGUUUUCUUCUUGUUAGCAAUGGCGAUGACCUUAGCCAUUACUUUUUCUGUAGCAUCAACCCAAGAGAAAUCACUCCUCGAUGAACCCAAUGAUGAAUACGUGAAAAAUGAAGAACAAUUCUCUUCACUUCGUGGGGUAAGCCGUUUUCUUGCUCAAAAAUCACGUUUCACAAUGAAGUGCAACAACUAUCCUCGAAUUUGUCGAAUCAAGGGCAGUCCUGGACCAGAUUGCUGCAAGAAAAGAUGUGUUAAUGUAGCCAAAGACAGAUUCAAUUGUGGGAAAUGUGGGCAUAGAUGCAAGUUCUCAGAAAUUUGUUGCAAAGGACAGUGUGUCAAUCCUUUGUUCAACAAAAAGCACUGUGGAGGUUGCAACAAUAAGUGCAAGAAAGGAAAUAAAUGUUUAUAUGGAAUGUGUAGCUAUGCAUAAAGUUCGUGUGAUUUGCACUUCAUUACUAGAAUAUAUACUUUUAGUGUUUGUUAUUAAUUUAUAUAUGUAACAAAUAAUUAAGUCAAUCCCUAUUGGCUUUUACCUUUGAUUAUCUAUUCUUUGCAUCAGGAAUGUUAUUAGUGUAUUAGUCAUCAAUUUAUGUAACAAAUGAGAGGUCGAGUGGACAUGAAAUACCGUCGAUAUAUUAAUUUGGAGUCCAAAACGUAUUUAUCAAAUUUAUUAUGUUUACAAGAACUCUAGGCCAUGAACAAGUACAUCUACCAAUUACUUGUUAAGUGGUAGUUACCUUUUAAUUCUCCACAAGUGAUGUACAAUCAACAGGUAUGAUGGAAAUUUUCAUGGAGCUUCGUGAAAUCUUACUCUCG
This 929-nucleotide long non-coding RNA is filed under the name Olea europaea subsp. europaea. Lineage: Eukaryota; Viridiplantae; Streptophyta; Magnoliopsida; Lamiales; Oleaceae. The record is from RNAcentral.